UACGUAGGGUGCGAGCGUUGUCCGGAAUUACUGGGCGUAAAGAGUUCGUAGGCGGUUUGUCGCGUCGUUCGUGAAAACUUGGGGCUUAACUCCAAGCGUGCGGGCGAUACGGGCAGACUUGAGGUAUGCAGGGGAGAACGGAAUUCCUGGUGUAGCGGUGAAAUGCGCAGAUAUCAGGAGGAACACCGGUGGCGAAGGCGGUUCUCUGGGCCUUACCUGACGCUGAGGCGCGAAAGCGUGGGGAGCGAACAGG
This 253-nucleotide ribosomal RNA is filed under the name uncultured bacterium. Its description in RNAcentral is "partial 16S ribosomal RNA". It matches the Rfam family "Bacterial small subunit ribosomal RNA", at positions 524 to 776 of the family's 1533-position model. The record is from RNAcentral.